GUGCUUGCUUCGGCAGCACAUAUACUAAAAUUAGAAUGAUACCGAGAAGAUUAGCAUGGCUCCUGCGCAAGGAUGACACGCAAAUUCAUGAAGCGUUGCAUAUUUUU
RNAcentral lists this small nuclear RNA (107 nucleotides) under Rhinolophus ferrumequinum (greater horseshoe bat). Lineage: Eukaryota; Metazoa; Chordata; Mammalia; Chiroptera; Rhinolophidae. The record is from RNAcentral.